UACGAAGGGGGCUAGCGUUGUUCGGAAUCACUGGGCGUAAAGCGCACGUAGGCGGAUCUUUAAGUCAGGGGUGAAAUCCCGAGGCUCAACCUCGGAACUGCCUUUGAUACUGGGGAUCUCGAGUCCGGGAGAGGUGAGUGGAACUGCGAGUGUAGAGGUGAAAUUCGUAGAUAUUCGCAAGAACACCAGUGGCGAAGGCGGCUCACUGGCCCGGAACUGACGCUGAGGAGCGAAAGCGUGGGGAGCGAACAGG
RNAcentral lists this ribosomal RNA (253 nucleotides) under uncultured bacterium. RNAcentral describes it as "partial 16S ribosomal RNA". It matches the Rfam family "Bacterial small subunit ribosomal RNA", at positions 524 to 776 of the family's 1533-position model. The record is from RNAcentral.